GAUGAACGCUGGCGGCGUGCCUAAUACAUGCAAGUCGAGCGAACAGACGAGGAGCUUGCUCCUCUGACGUUAGCGGCGGACGGGUGAGUAACACGUGGAUAACCUACCUAUAAGACUGGGAUAACUUCGGGAAACCGGAGCUAAUACCGGAUAAUAUAUUGAACCGCAUGGUUCAAUAGUUAAAGACGGUUUUGCUGUCACUUAUAGAUGGAUCCGCGCCGCAUUAGCUAGUUGGUAAGGUAACGGCUUACCAAGGCAACGAUGCGUAGCCGACCUGAGAGGGUGAUCGGCCACACUGGAACUGAGACACGGUCCAGACUCCUACGGGAGGCAGCAGUAGGGAAUCUUCCGCAAUGGGCGAAAGCCUGACGGAGCAACGCCGCGUGAGUGAUGAAGGUCUUCGGAUCGUAAAACUCUGUUAUUAGGGAAGAACAAAUGUGUAAGUAUCUAUGCACGUCUUGACGGUACCUAAUCAGAAAGCCACGGCUAACUACGUG
Molecule: ribosomal RNA, 497 nt
Filed under: uncultured bacterium
Lineage: Bacteria
Description: partial 16S ribosomal RNA
Rfam family: Bacterial small subunit ribosomal RNA
Source: RNAcentral